CCAGAGUGCCCUAGGCUCUCCAACCCAUUGUGAACUUACCAAACGUUCCCUCGGCGGGCUCAGCGCGCGGUGGCCUCCGGGCCUCCGGGCGUCCGCCGGGGAAAACCAAACCCUGAUUUAAUCGUAUUUCUCUGAGGGGCGAAAGCCCGAAAACAAAAUGAAUCA
This 165-nucleotide unclassified non-coding RNA is filed under the name soil metagenome. Its description in RNAcentral is "partial internal transcribed spacer 1". The record is from RNAcentral. RNAcentral also lists the same sequence under 1 other name.